RNAcentral lists this ribosomal RNA (115 nucleotides) under Danio rerio (zebrafish). The record is from RNAcentral. Lineage: Eukaryota; Metazoa; Chordata; Actinopteri; Cypriniformes; Danionidae.
GCCGGCAGCUAGCUCUCUGCAACUCUCACAUUGUUGCACACUGAAGCUAAGAAGGGCUGUGCCCAGGCAGUACCUGGAUAGGAGACCACAUGGAAAAGCGAGGUUAGUGCUGGAA